GGGCUCAUAGCUCAGUUGGUUAGAGCGUCACAUUGACAUUGUGAAGGCCAGAGGUUCGAGUCCUCUUGGGCCCA
This 74-nucleotide transfer RNA is filed under the name bacterium. Its description in RNAcentral is "tRNA-Val". It matches the Rfam family "tRNA". Rfam says of the family: Transfer RNA (tRNA) molecules are approximately 80 nucleotides in length. Their secondary structure includes four short double-helical elements and three loops (D, anti-codon, and T loops). Further hydrogen bonds mediate the characteristic L-shaped molecular structure. tRNAs have two regions of fundamental functional importance: the anti-codon, which is responsible for specific mRNA codon recognition, and the 3' end, to which the tRNAs corresponding amino acid is attached (by aminoacyl-tRNA synthetases). tRNAs cope with the degeneracy of the genetic code in two manners: having more than one tRNA (with a specific anti-codon) for a particular amino acid; and 'wobble' base-pairing, i.e. permitting non-standard base-pairing at the 3rd anti-codon position. The record is from RNAcentral.